ACGAACGCUGGCGGCAUGCCUAACACAUGCAAGUCGAACGAGACCUUCGGGUCUAGUGGCGUACGGGUGCGUAACGCGUGGGAACCUGCCCUUAGGUUCGGAAUAACUCCCCGAAAGGGGUGCUAAUACCGGAUAAUGUCUUCGGACCAAAGAUUUAUCGCCUUUGGAUGGGCCCGCGUUGGAUUAGCUAGUUGGUAGGGUAAAAGCCUACCAAGGCGACGAUCCAUAGCUGGUCUGAGAGGAUGAUCAGCCACACUGGGACUGAGACACGGCCCAGACUCCUACGGGAGGCAGCAGUGGGGAAUAUUGGACAAUGGGCGAAAGCCUGAUCCAGCAAUGCCGCGUGAGUGAUGAAGGCCUUAGGGUUGUAAAGCUCUUUUACCCGGGAUGAUAAUGACAGUACCGGGAGAAUAAGCUCCGGCUAACUCCGUG
This 432-nucleotide ribosomal RNA is filed under the name uncultured bacterium. Its description in RNAcentral is "partial 16S ribosomal RNA". It matches the Rfam family "Bacterial small subunit ribosomal RNA", at positions 29 to 507 of the family's 1533-position model. The record is from RNAcentral.